This 461-nucleotide long non-coding RNA is filed under the name Populus trichocarpa (black cottonwood). Its description in RNAcentral is "long non-coding RNA (PTRI_LNC000323)". Lineage: Eukaryota; Viridiplantae; Streptophyta; Magnoliopsida; Malpighiales; Salicaceae. The record is from RNAcentral.
GCAACAACAGUACCAACUGUAAAGAACACCGUAUCAUGAUGCAUGACAAAACUUACAGCGCUAGAAAUAUCCUUCUUAGAAACAGCAUCAUCAGGGCUCUCUGACUCUGCUUUAAGCUUUGGUGCCGGUGCAGGUGCCGGUGGUGGAGGUUUAGGGGUAAAUAUAUCCAAAGGAAGGAGCACCUUGUCAACCUGAUAAAUAGCAAGAUGGGUGUCCGUGUAUACAGUGUCGGAAAUGGUGGUGUUGGUAAGUCCUGUAGAUAUGUUCAAGGAGUUCCCACUGGCGGUAACGUUAAGCUGAAACCUAGCACCAGAUCCAGCGUGUGUUUUUAAAGGGCUACUCACGGUAUCAAAUUGGGAAGAUGAGAUGAACAUAGGGACAAUGUGAAACUGCAUCAACUCGACCUUUUCUUGAUCAGUUAAGGUGCGGAGAGUGCCUGUUUUAAGGGCUGAAAAUGCACU